Molecule: ribosomal RNA, 348 nt
Filed under: uncultured bacterium
Lineage: Bacteria
Description: bacterial SSU rRNA
Rfam family: Bacterial small subunit ribosomal RNA
Source: RNAcentral
CGCGGGAGCAAUCCUGGCGGCGAGCGGCGAACGGGUGAGUAAUGCUUCGGAAUCUACCCAUGUAGUGGGGAAUAACCAGCCGAAAGGUUGGCUAAUACCGCAUACGACCUACGGGUGAAAGCAGGGGAUCGCAAGACCUUGCGCUAUUGGAUGAGCCGAAGUCGGAUUAGCUAGUUGGUGAGGUAACGGCUCACCAAGGCGACGAUCCGUAGCUGGUCUGAGAGGACGACCAGCCACACUGGGACUGAGACACGGCCCAGACUCCUACGGGAGGCAGCAGUGGGGAAUAUUGGACAAUGGGGGCAACCCUGAUCCAGCGACGCCGCGUGUGUGAAGAAGGCCUGCGGG